UAAUGAUCCACCCAGUUGACAGCUUC
RNAcentral lists this non-coding RNA (26 nucleotides) under Mus musculus (house mouse). The record is from RNAcentral. Lineage: Eukaryota; Metazoa; Chordata; Mammalia; Rodentia; Muridae.